UACGGCUACAUUAGGUUGAAACACCGAUUCCCGUGCGAUCACAGAAGUUAAGCAACGUCAAGCUUAGUCAAUACCUACAAGGGUGACCGCUUCGGAAUAUCAUGUGUUGUAAG
Non-coding RNA from Acanthosepion pharaonis, 113 nucleotides. The record is from the annotation of a GenBank genome assembly. Lineage: Eukaryota; Metazoa; Mollusca; Cephalopoda; Sepiida; Sepiidae.